AUUGAACGCUGGCGGCAGGCUUGACACAUGCAAGUCGAGCGGGGGACCGGCAGUCGCGCCGGGGUGCAGCGGCGAACGGGUGAGUAAUGCCUCGGAACCUGCCCCGUAGUGGGGGAUAACACUUGGAAACGCGCGCUAAUACCGCAUACGUCCUGAGGGAGAAAGCGGGGGAUCGUAAGACCUCACGCCAUCCGAUGAGCCGAGGUCAGAUUAGCUAGUUGGUGGGGUAAAGGCCUACCAAGGCGACGAUCCGUAACUGGUCUGAGAGGAUGAUCAGGCACCCUGUCACUGAGCCACCGCCCACACUCCUACGGGAGGCAGCCGUGGGGACUCUUGGACCAUGGGCGUACUCCUGAUCUAGCCAUGCCGCGUGUGUGAAGACGGUCUUCGGCUUGUAAAGCACUUUUGGCUGGAAAGAACGGGUGUGAGUUAAAGUGUUCCGGUUAUGACGUUCCCAACAGACUAAGCCCCGGCUAACUACGUG
Molecule: ribosomal RNA, 484 nt
Filed under: uncultured bacterium
Lineage: Bacteria
Description: partial 16S ribosomal RNA
Rfam family: Bacterial small subunit ribosomal RNA
Source: RNAcentral